This 359-nucleotide unclassified non-coding RNA is filed under the name soil metagenome. Its description in RNAcentral is "partial contains 5.8S ribosomal RNA, internal transcribed spacer 2, and large subunit ribosomal RNA". The stretch from base 1 to 120 matches the Rfam family "5.8S ribosomal RNA", at positions 35 to 154 of the family's 154-position model. The record is from RNAcentral.
GAUGAAGAACGUAGCGAAACGCGAUAGUUAAUGUGAAUUGCAGAAUUCAGUGAAUCAUCGAGUCUUUGAACGCACAUUGCGCCCCCUGGUAUUCCGGGGGGCAUGCCUGUCCGAGCGUCAUUGCUGCCCAUCAAGCGCGGCUUGUGUGUUGGGCCGCCGUCCGCCUUCCCCCCCGGGGGGAGGGGGACGGGCCCGAAAGGCAGCGGCGGCACCGCGUCCGGUCCUCGAGCGUAUAGGGCUCUGUCACCCGCUCUGGAGGCCCGGCCGGCGCCCGCCGACCCCCAACCUUCUUCUAACCAGGUUGACCUCGGAUCAGGUAGGGAUACCCGCUGAACUUAAGCAUAUCAAUAAGCGGAGGA